UACGUAGGCAGCGAGCGUUGUUCGGAAUUACUGGGCGUAAAGAGUGUGUAGGCGGUGUUCCAAGUUCGGUGUGAAAUCUCCCGGCUUAACUGGGAGGGUGCGCCGAAGACUGGAAUGCUCGAGCGUGGGAGAGGAAAGCGGAAUUCUCGGUGUAGCGGUGAAAUGCGUAGAUAUCGGGAGGAACACCUGCGGCGAAGGCGGGUUGCUGGGCUGACACUGACGCUGAAGCGCGAAAGCUAGGGGAGCGAACGGG
RNAcentral lists this ribosomal RNA (253 nucleotides) under uncultured bacterium. RNAcentral's name for it is "partial 16S ribosomal RNA". It matches the Rfam family "Bacterial small subunit ribosomal RNA", at positions 524 to 776 of the family's 1533-position model. The record is from RNAcentral.